RNAcentral lists this transfer RNA (71 nucleotides) under Marmota monax (woodchuck). Its description in RNAcentral is "tRNA.Val". Lineage: Eukaryota; Metazoa; Chordata; Mammalia; Rodentia; Sciuridae. The record is from RNAcentral.
GGGGUUGUGGCUCAUUGGUACAGCACUCGCCUCACAUGUGUGGGUCCCUGGGUUCUAUCCUCAGCACCACA